Molecule: unclassified non-coding RNA, 358 nt
Filed under: uncultured fungus
Lineage: Eukaryota; Fungi
Also listed under: 2 other names
Description: partial contains small subunit ribosomal RNA, internal transcribed spacer 1, and 5.8S ribosomal RNA
Rfam family: Eukaryotic small subunit ribosomal RNA (bases 1-46)
Source: RNAcentral
AAGUCGUAACAAGGUUUCCGUAGGUGAACCUGCGGAAGGAUCAUUAUUGAAUAUUCUUGAUGGGUUGUAGCUGGCUCUCCGGGGCAUGUGCACACUUGUCUUGACUUUAUUCGUCCACCUGUGCACCUUUUGUAGUCUUGGGGGUUGAGAGCAAGUCGACUAUCGGAUGGCUAAGGCCUUUCCGGACGUGAGGAUUGCUGAGUGCGAAAGCAUACAGCUCUUCUUAAAUGACUUGUAAUACCUCUCCCUCGAGUACUAUGUAUUCAUAUACCACAUAGUAUGUUGUAGAAUGUGAUCAAUGGGCCUAUGUGCCUAUAAUAAUGAUAUACAACUUUCAGCAACGGAUCUCUUGGCUCUC